UACAGAGGUCUCGAGCGUUGUUCGGAUUCAUUGGGCGUAAAGGGCGCGUAGGCGGCGGGGUAAGUCUGGUGUGAAAUCUCGGAGCUCAACUCCGAAAUUGCACUGGAUACUGCUCUGCUAGAGGGCUGGAGAGGAGAUCGGAAUUCACGGUGUAGCAGUGAAAUGCGUAGAUAUCGUGAGGAAGACCAGUGGCGAAGGCGGAUCUCUGGACAGCUCCUGACGCUGAGGCGCGAAAGCUAGGGGAGCAAACGGG
Molecule: ribosomal RNA, 253 nt
Filed under: uncultured bacterium
Lineage: Bacteria
Description: partial 16S ribosomal RNA
Rfam family: Bacterial small subunit ribosomal RNA
Source: RNAcentral